CGGACGGGUGAGUAAUGUCUGGGAAACUGCCUGAUGGAGGGGGGUAACUACUGGAAACGGUAGCUAAUACCGCAUAACGUCGCAAGACCAAAGAGGGGACCUUAGGGCCUCUUGCCAUCGGAUGUGCCCAGAUGGGAUUAGCUAGUAGGUGGGGUAAUGGCUCACCUAGGCGACGAUCCCUAGCUGGUCGGAGAGGAUGACCAGCCACACUGGAACUGAGACACGGUCCAG
Molecule: ribosomal RNA, 231 nt
Filed under: uncultured bacterium
Lineage: Bacteria
Description: partial 16S ribosomal RNA
Rfam family: Bacterial small subunit ribosomal RNA
Source: RNAcentral